This 4591-nucleotide long non-coding RNA is filed under the name Phoenix dactylifera (date palm). RNAcentral describes it as "long non-coding RNA (PDAC_LNC005061)". Lineage: Eukaryota; Viridiplantae; Streptophyta; Magnoliopsida; Arecales; Arecaceae. The record is from RNAcentral.
GGCAAACGAAUGACCCGUGAGUUCAAAAAUAUGGCCUUCCUAAUUGAUUGCCGUAUCCACCAAUAUGCAUAGGUUGAAAAUCUGCAUCCAACUUUUGGCUUGAACUUCUCCAAGCUCUUCAUAAGGCCCCUGCUUCCCUCCUACAAUAACACAAAAUUGUUGAUGCUUCAAGGAUAAAUAAGAGUUUACUAUUAGAAAAAUCAGGAACACAUUUAAAAAUAAAAAAUAUUCAGAUCAAAAUGCUUAUAUAUUAGUCAAAAAUUCCCACCAAGGAAUCUGUCAUAGAGCAAAUAUAGAGUAUUGCCAUUUCUAGCUAUUAACUUGAGAACUAUUAUACAUUACUGAUGCGAUGGAUUUUUCUAUUACUAUAAACCAAGUUCCAGUGCAUUCUGUAACUGCUAGAGGAGAAGAGCAAGCAUUCAUAUCAAGGUUCUCCGUCUCGGUACCUGACCCCGUACCGGUGCCACGCUAGCAUUGUGUCAAUACGAUACGGUACGAAAAUUUUUUGGCAUACUAAAUGUUGGUACGCCAUCCAUACUGGUACCGGUACCAAAGCAGUAUGGUACAGUAUGCCCGGUACUGUCUAGUUCGGUACGGUACAGCAUACCAUAGUUCAUAUUUCAUAUCCCAAAUAGAUGUGAAACUUGCCAACAGAAAGGAGAUUAGCAGCACUUUCAGCAUAUAGUGCAGAGCAAUUCCAAGGACAACACUAGUUCUCAGAAUAUAGCAACAAAAACAAAAGAAAGUGCUACAGCCACUUGAUAAUAAAGAACAAAGAAUGCACACGUAGAGAAAACUGACCAACCUGCAGUAGAUCCAGAAUAUUGAGGCCCUUCCCUUCAUACUGUUUAGCCACAUGUACCACAAGACGUAAAUUAGCAUUAAUCAUCUUCUCUCGACUACGUUUUCCGGACGAAAGGCAACAUUGCAAAGCUUGGCAACUCAUUCCAACAGCUUGAGCCCACUCAGAUAGUGUUGGUUCACGAUCAAAUUGCAACCGAAGUCUCUGUUGAACUUCUUCCAAUCUCAUAAGAUCCUGUUAGCAGAGGAUAGUGGAGCACCUUUUAACAAACAUCACUAUACUUCUAAGACCACACAAAUAAUUAUGAAGCUCGCACAAGAGCAUCCGAAGAAGACAUACCUGUAUCUGAACAAAUAGAUCCUUUUCUUCUUUGACUGUUAAUAGUUGCUUUGUCUCAGGACCCCACAAGAACAAUCUGAGGGGGUCAUUUGGAUCAAGACCCUUAUCUAUCUUUUUGUUCAUGCCUGUGGUCAUCGACUUAGAAACCUCACAGGCAACAUUUUUUGAGUUCUUCCCAACCUUGCGUUUCUUAGACCGCCUCUCCAAUAAUCGUUUUGAUCUAACAGCCACUUCCUCUUUGAUGGAAAUAUCCAUUGUGGAUCCUCUGUGGUUCAAACUGAUUACAUAAUAUAUUAUAGUUCAACUUAAUGGGGCAUAAGAAUAUCAAAUCUUAAGCAGGAAAGGAACAAAAGCAUUAAACUAAUGAGAAACAAACCCAAGAAAAUGUGAUUCAUCAAAUUCAGCUGCUAAGAUGUUGGACUCUUCCAUUAAUGAUGCUGCUUUUCUUGAGGCUCUCAUGGCUCUUUUUGCAAGGGCAAGAACAUCUGCUGGCCUCACAAAAUCUGCACAAUUCUCCAACGACAUUUUGUUCUUCCUUGCUGAUAUAGUUGGUUUUAUAAUCAUCAUGUUGUUCCUGUGAAAGAACUGACAUAGGAAAAUGACAAACUAUAGAUGUAGUUGGCACAGAGAUAUUUGUCCAACUUGCUUGAUCAUGUAGCAUUGGAACCGAAGUGGGGAAGCGAUUUCUAACAUGGGUUCUUGUGGGAUUGGGUGGGGGUGAAGCGAGGAGCCUCCUUCCAGCCUCCAUCUCUCACGAGAAUUUAGAGUUGGGAUGAUGAACGUAUUCUUGUACUAAUUUGUUAUCACUUUUUAUGGGUUCUGUGGACAUUGCUAAUGGAGUCUUCUCCUCGGUGUACAGAGACAGAAAUCUGAAACAAACAAUUGAAACAGGAAAAGGUUGAGAAAUUAAUAAACCAGUGUUAAGAAAUUCAUGUAAAAUACUUGAUCAUAACAUAAGAGAUGAGCCCAAGUUAUCUUACGGAUACCAGAAAACCUGAUGAUAAAGCAAUUGGUGUUCGAAGUAUCUCAGACAUUGGGCAACUUCACACUUUGCCUUCUCUUCAAAACAUGAUCUUCCACUCUCAACUUGCCGGUCAUCCUGUGUUAUUUCUAAGGUUAAAAUUUAAGGGUAUAAAGGCUAUGGGUAAAUGAAAUGUACAAAAAUAAAUGUGAUUCUCUUGCCAGAAAUUUAAUCAAAUCAACCUUUUUGUGAACAUUACGAAGUCAGGGGCAAAAUAAAAUCAGUGGGACUAUAAAAUAGACAUUUCUUAUGUUCCACACUUAAGAAUUUAAAGCAACCAAAGUACAUGUCUAUAGUUUAAAAUUCAUAUUAUUAUGUCACAAAAUGUUCUGGCUCACAAAAAAGGAGAAUUCUCAGUCAUAACUAGAUCAACGUUGUGUGAGAAGUUCUUUUUGUUGUUGUUUAUUGGUAAACUGAUAAGAGCCUGAAUGGCAUUUUAAUAAGAUAUUUUCCUCACCCUCUGAGUUGAACAGUACUUUCUUCACCACCCAGCUGCAAAGGUUUGAAAAGACUCUUCAAGUUUACCCGCUAGAUUCAACUCACAUUCACAAGGGUAUCCAACAUGGUGUACUGCCCCAUACUGCUCGGUACAGGGCAUACGAUACUAUACCGGGAGAAAACUGGAACAAAACUCAACCUCGAAUCAAUACAAACUCUGUACCACACCGUACCGCCAUACUAUGGCAUACCGACUUACACCAAGGCAUAUCGAGGUGCGUACCGAUCCGUACCGAAGCAUAUCGAUCUAUAUCGAGGUGUACCGAGAUAAAAUUGAGAAAAAUGGUUUGGGAGCUAUUUCAGUACAGGAACCAUACCAUAUCGAGGCACCGAUACAGUACCCGAUACCGAGAUUACAGACCUUGGUAUCCAAUAGAUGCAAGAUGAUUAUUUUUUCCUACCUUAAAAGUUGUUCGUAGGCUUACAUGGAAGGCUUCUUGUCUUUGUUAUAGUUACAUUCACAAAGACUUUGAGGAAAAAAAUUUAGUAUCAAGCUAUUUUAUGCAACUUUCCUUGACUCCAAUAAUAAGAAUUCCUUUCAUCAUUGAGCUUGCGAGACUUACGAAGGAAUUAGUAUGUAUGUACAGUCAGUUACAGAUAUAUAUGAAGCUAAUGGGUGCAGAUAAAACAAUUUCCAGAUAUGUGCGGUAAUGAGAACCUAGAGUAGCAAUUCUAGAUAUGCCCCCAGCCCAUGGCUCAGACGGCAGUCCUUCAACUUGUCCAAUGCCCGGCUUUCUAGCUGCCUUACCCUUUCCUUUGAUAGGCCAAACAUUACACCAAUCUCUGUAAGUGAUUUCGGCUUGUUGUUGGGGAUUCCAAAACGGUAUUGAAUUAUUUGCCUUUCCCUAGGUUUGAGAAUCCUAAGAAGACCGCGUACAUGCUGCCUCAUCAUCUGUUUAGCCAUGCUGAGGUCUGGAGUUUCUACCUCAGGAUCUCCUGUGAUCUCCUGAAAAGUGACAUCUUGAUCUGUCCAAGCACAUUCCUGAAUUGAGAUUGGGUUUCUAGUGGUUAGCAACAGAACUUUCAACCUCUCAACACUGAUGCCAACCUGUUUUGCUAUCUCUUCAUUUGUUGGGGCAUGGCCUUCUUGAAUGAAUAAUCUCCUUGCUUUCUUUAUACUUUUCAAAAGUCCAAACACAUUCUCCGGCAAACGAAUGACCCGUGAGUUCAAAAAUAUGGCCUUCCUAAUUGAUUGCCGUAUCCACCAAUAUGCAUAGGUUGAAAAUCUGCAUCCAACUUUUGGCUUGAACUUCUCCAAGCUCUUCAUAAGGCCCCUGCUUCCCUCCUGCAGUAGAUCCAGAAUAUUGAGGCCCUUCCCUUCAUACUGUUUAGCCACAUGUACCACAAGACGUAAAUUAGCAUUAAUCAUCUUCUCUCGACUACGUUUUCCAGACGAAAGGCAACAUUGCAAAGCUUGGCAACUCAUUCCAACAGCUUGAGCCCACUCAGAUAGUGUUGGUUCACGAUCAAAGUGCAACCGAAGUCUCUGUUGAACUUCUUCCAAUAGCAUAAGAUCCUGUAUCUGAACAAAUAGAUCCUUUUCUUCUUUGACUGUUAAUAGUUGCUUUGUCUCAGGACCCCACAAGAACAAUCUGAGGGGGUCAUUUGGAUCAAGACCCUUAUCUAUCUUUUUGUUCAUGCCUGUGGUCAUUGACUUAGAAACCUCACAGGCAACAUUUUUUGAGUUCUUCCCAACCUUGCGUUUCUUAGACCGCCUCUCCAAUAAUCGUUUUGAUCUAACAGCCACUUCCUCUUUGAUGGAAAUAUCCAUUGUGGAUCCUCUGUGGUUCAAACCCAAGAAAAUGUGAUUCAUCAAAUUCAGCUGCUAAGAUGUUGGACUCUUCCAUUAAUGAUGCUGCUUUUCUUGAGGCUCUCAUGGCUCUUUUUGCAAGGGCAAGAACAUCUGCUGGCCUCACAAAAUCUGCACAAUU